GUUCCCUUCUUCUUCGAGCCAUCGGUAGCGGCAGCGCAGCCUCCAAAUUUCCCCAAUCUAAUGGCGUAAGAAAUCCCUCCUGGACCAACCCCUCUCGCCCAUCUUUGUAUCUCUCGCUUGACGGCGGUGGCACCAUUCAGAUCCAAUGCCAAGCUUGUACGAAAGGUGUCAUUCCAUCUCCGCUCUGACGGCUCCUGACCGUCUCAUUGCGAGCGGCCUAGUUCCAGUACGAGGAUCCCUGUACUACCAAGUUCCGCCCCAAUCUGUGCCCGGCAGCUCAGUUAUGUCUAUCCCAUGUUGGGCUCGUCUGCUCCUUCCCCUCUCAUGCUGAACAUCAAGAAGGAUCUAAUAGAAGAAGUCCUGACUCAGAAGGACCCUAUGGAAGGGUCGUUUCCUGGAACGAAAAUAGGACAUGGCUGGAUGAAUAACUUGCUAAUGCUGAAGCAAUUCUACAACAGCAAAGCCAACCAUUAUGGUGUGAAUUGUCACAGUAUGUAACUGAACUAUAUAUAGAAAAUGAAUUAUGAAUCGCCAUAUCAUUCCCAUGAAUGUUGCUGAGUCUCAUGUUCAAGUGUUCGCUCAAAAGUCAACUACAGACUCAUUUGUUAUCUAGAAAUAUAUGUUAAACAAACAUACCUCCUGUUUUUUCGCAUCA
This is a long non-coding RNA of Triticum dicoccoides, 655 nucleotides long. RefSeq lists it as uncharacterized. The transcript is spliced from 2 exons. Lineage: Eukaryota; Viridiplantae; Streptophyta; Magnoliopsida; Poales; Poaceae. The record is from RefSeq and is a predicted model, not a curated record.